This 808-nucleotide long non-coding RNA is filed under the name Homo sapiens (human). RNAcentral describes it as "HSALNT0080127". Lineage: Eukaryota; Metazoa; Chordata; Mammalia; Primates; Hominidae. The record is from RNAcentral.
AUAUAAAGUCAUAUCAUCUGCAAACAGGGACAAUUUAACUUCCUCUUUUCCAAUUUGGAUACCUUCUGAUUCUUUCCCUUGCCUAACUGCUCUGGCCAUGAUUUCAAGUACUAUGUUGAGAAGAAGUUAUGAGAAUGGACAUUUUUGUCCUGUUUCUCCUCAUUUCUUAAUUAAAUUGGUUCUUUGUUGCUGAGUUAUAAAAGUUCUUUAUAUAAUCUGUAUAUCAACUCCUGAUCAAAUGUAGAUUUGUAAAUAUUUCCCCCAGUUCCACGUGUUGUCUUUUUAUUCUAUUGAGUGUCCAUUGAUUCCUAAAAGUUUUUAAUUUUGAUCAAGUCUAAUUUAUCUAUUUCUUCUGAUAUCUGUGUUUUUAGUAUCAUAUUCACAAAGUCAUUGCCAAAUCCAAUAUCAUGAAACUUUUUCCCUGUGUUUUCUUCUGAGAGUUUUAUAAUUUUAAGUAUUAUGUUUAGGUCUUUGAUUCAUUUUGAGUUAAUUUUGUGCAUGGUAUAAAGCAAGGCUCCAACUUUAUUUUUUUGUACGUGGGUAUUUUUCCAACAUCAUUUACUGAAACGAUUGUCCUUUUUGUUGAAUGGUCUUGGCAGCCUUGCCAAAAUUUCACAUACUUUAAGUCAUCAGCAUUUUCCUUCCAGUUAUCUUACGUCAAAUUGGCAGCCAGUGCCCUGCUUCUGGUUUUCAUGUUGUCUUUUAUAAAAUGGUGGUUUGGACCAUGGAAUGCCCUUUCCACAUGGUGGGGGAGGCCUCACAAUCAUGGCGGAAAGCGAAUAAGGAGCAAAGUUACGUCUUAGGUGGC